Molecule: ribosomal RNA, 528 nt
Filed under: Triticum aestivum (bread wheat)
Lineage: Eukaryota; Viridiplantae; Streptophyta; Magnoliopsida; Poales; Poaceae
Description: partial small subunit ribosomal RNA
Source: RNAcentral
AUGAUCCACGACGCCAUGGCGCGACUCCGCGACGGGGGCUACGAGUUCAUGGCCAUGCCCGUCAAGUUCGCCGAGCUCGAGAAGUUCGCCAACCUGACCCUGUUCACGCUCGACGACCCGGCCAUCUUCGUCGGCGGAGGCCACGACUACGUCUCGGCGGUGCGCUUCCACAUCGUCCCCAACCACCGCCUCACGAGCGCCGACCUCCACCGCCUCCGCCCCGGCACGGUGCUCCCCACGCUGGCCGGCGAGGGCCAGAGCCUCGUCGUCACCCACUACGCCACCGACUCGGCCUCCUCCAAGUCCAACGACGUCUGCAUCAACUACAUACCCAUAAGGAGCCCGACGUGGUGGUCAACUCGCGCAUCGCCGUCCACGGCGUCUACGUGCCGUUCCCCCGCCUCCACCUCGCCGACCUCGCCGCCUCGGUCGCCGUCGCGUCCGCCACCGACACCUGCGGCGCCGGGGGACCCUUCGGCAACUGCGCCUCCUCAGCGUCAGCCAUCACCUCUCCCAAGAGGCAAGUAG